RNAcentral lists this ribosomal RNA (253 nucleotides) under Mediterraneibacter faecis JCM 15917. RNAcentral describes it as "[Ruminococcus] faecis JCM 15917 partial 16S ribosomal RNA". It matches the Rfam family "Bacterial small subunit ribosomal RNA", at positions 524 to 776 of the family's 1533-position model. Lineage: Bacteria; Bacillati; Bacillota; Clostridia; Lachnospirales; Lachnospiraceae. The record is from RNAcentral.
UACGUAUGGUGCAAGCGUUAUCCGGAUUUACUGGGUGUAAAGGGAGCGUAGACGGAGUGGCAAGUCUGAUGUGAAAACCCGGGGCUCAACCCCUGGACUGCAUUGGAAACUGUCAAUCUAGAGUACCGGAGAGGUAAGCGGAAUUCCUAGUGUAGCGGUGAAAUGCGUAGAUAUUAGGAGGAACACCAGUGGCGAAGGCGGCUUACUGGACGGUAACUGACGUUGAGGCUCGAAAGCGUGGGGAGCAAACAGG